RNAcentral lists this ribosomal RNA (294 nucleotides) under uncultured bacterium. RNAcentral describes it as "partial 16S ribosomal RNA". It matches the Rfam family "Bacterial small subunit ribosomal RNA", at positions 775 to 1067 of the family's 1533-position model. The record is from RNAcentral.
GGAUUAGAUACCCUGGUAGUCCACGCCGUAAACGAUGUCAACUAGUUGUUCGUCUUAUAAACAAGGUGAGUAACGCAGCUAACGCACUAAGUUGACCGCCUGGGGAGUACGGCCGCAAGGUUAAAACUCAAAUGAAUUGACGGGGGCCCGCACAAGCGGUGGAGCAUGUGGUUUAAUUCGAUGCAACGCGAAGAACCUUACCAUCCCUUGACAUCCAGUGAAUUUUCUAGAGAUAGAUUAGUGCCUUCGGGAACACUGAGACAGGUGCUGCAUGGCUGUCGUCAGCUCGUGCUG